AUUUUUUCCAAUAAAUUUCUAAAGCUAUAUUUUAGAAAUCAAAAAAAUAUUUGCAUUAAAACCAUUAUUCCCUUAAGUUUUUAGAGGAUUCUGUUUGACUUUGGCAUGAAUAAAUUCCAUUCUCUUAUUUGCACUGCUACUAGAUAUGAUGAGUUUUAGCAGAGAUCCUGGAACAACUGCUGCCUAUCACGGUGUGAAAUCAAUGACAUGGAGUCCUGUAGAAACUAUUUACUUUGCUAUAUCUCCUCAAUAUAUGUAUAUACAAACAAGAUCUUUGGCACUGGCUUGAAAUCCACAGCAAGAGCUCAUGGUGAACCCUUAACGGGAGCUGCGAAGGAUGAAGAGUUAGACCAAUAUACUAAUUCAUCUCGCUUCUUCCCUGUUAGCAUUGAGGUGAAUCCCUUGAUGAUAAAGCCAUAUCAUCACCUGUUUUACUCUAAACAAAGACAUUUAUAAAAAUGAGAUUAAUGAAAAGAAGAAAGAAAAAGAAGAAAAAGUAGAUCUCCACUUUUUUUUUUUUCACCUGGAGGUCCUGAUUUAUUUGGUGUGGAAUGGAGCAUUCAAAUUUCCUGUUUCCUAGGCUAACAGCAGAAAACUAUUAAAUGGAAGAAAAUAAGAUGUGAACUGAAGUGGUAGAAAAAAGUAAAUGAAAAAAAAAAAAAAAAACAGAACAGGAGACUUUGUUUUCGGCAGUUUUUUAAUUAUACAUAUAGCUCCCUCAGCAGCCACAUGAGGAGGGCCAGCUGGGUCUUUUUCCAUUCUUUGGCCGAGUAUAUUUCAAAAUAUGCUUAAGAGACUAUCACAUCCAAAUCACCAGAGAGGAGAUCGUAGCUAGUCCCAGGCUUUUUUCAAUGUAACUUAGUAAAAAUCUCUGCGAAUAGUUCCCCAAAUUCUGCAUUUUUAACAAGCUCCCUGCUUAUGGAGCUGUCUCCUUGAGUGCAGGAAGGACAGGCUGUUCUACUUUAUAACUGGGACACCAAGUACAGAUCCUGGUUCAUAGGAGGUGCCUAGAAAACACAUGAUGGGUAAAUAGUUAAAUUGAAUUAAUAACUACAAUAAGCAGUAAAACUUAAUAAUUGCUAGUAUUUUUUUAAGUUGUAUAUAUCUACUACUAGAUAUAAAUUUUGGUUGGUGG
This 1135-nucleotide long non-coding RNA is filed under the name Pan troglodytes (chimpanzee). RNAcentral's name for it is "lncRNA (ENSPTRG00000053941.1)". The record is from RNAcentral. Lineage: Eukaryota; Metazoa; Chordata; Mammalia; Primates; Hominidae.